UACGUAGGCAGCGAGCGUUGUUCGGAAUUACUGGGCGUAAAGAGUGUGUAGGCGGUGCUCUAAGUUCGGUGUGAAAUCUCCUGCUUAACUGGGAGGGUGCGCCGGAAACUGGGGUGCUCGAGCGUGGGAGAGGAAAGCGGAAUUCCUGGUGUAGCGGUGAAAUGCGUAGAGUAUCAGGAGGAACACCGAUGGCGAAGGCAGGUCUCUGGGCUGACACUGACGCUCAUGCACGAAAGCGUGGGGAGCAAACAGG
RNAcentral lists this ribosomal RNA (253 nucleotides) under uncultured bacterium. RNAcentral describes it as "partial 16S ribosomal RNA". It matches the Rfam family "Bacterial small subunit ribosomal RNA", at positions 524 to 776 of the family's 1533-position model. The record is from RNAcentral.